Molecule: ribosomal RNA, 1100 nt
Filed under: Arthrobacter globiformis
Lineage: Bacteria; Bacillati; Actinomycetota; Actinomycetes; Micrococcales; Micrococcaceae
Description: bacterial SSU rRNA
Rfam family: Bacterial small subunit ribosomal RNA
Source: RNAcentral
AGUUGGGGGGUGGAAAGCUUUUGCGGUUUUGGAUGGACUCGCGGCCUAUCAGCUUGUUGGUGAGGUAAUGGCUUACCAAGGCGACGACGGGUAGCCGGCCUGAGAGGGUGACCGGCCACACUGGGACUGAGACACGGCCCAGACUCCUACGGGAGGCAGCAGUGGGGAAUAUUGCACAAUGGGCGCAAGCCUGAUGCAGCGACGCCGCGUGAGGGAUGACGGCCUUCGGGUUGUAAACCUCUUUCAGUAGGGAAGAAGCGAAAGUGACGGUACCUGCAGAAGAAGCGCCGGCUAACUACGUGCCCAGCAGCCGCGGUAAUACGUAGGGCGCAAGCGUUAUCCGGGAAUUAUUGGGCGUAAAGAGCUCGUAGGCCGGUUUGUCGCGUCUGCCGUGAAAGUCCGGGGCUCAACUCCGGAUCUGCGGUGGGUACGGGCAGACUAGAGUGAUGUAGGGGAGACUGGAAUUCCUGGUGUAGCGGUGAAAUGCGCAGAUAUCAGGAGGAACACCGAUGGCGAAGGCAGGUCUCUGGGCAUUAACUGACGCUGAGGAGCGAAAGCAUGGGGAGCGAACAGGAUUAGAUACCCUGGUAGUCCAUGCCGUAAACGUUGGGCACUAGGUGUGGGGGACAUUCCACGUUUUCCGCGCCGUAGCUAACGCAUUAAGUGCCCCGCCUGGGGAGUACGGCCGCAAGGCUAAAACUCAAAGGAAUUGACGGGGGCCCGCACAAGCGGCGGAGCAUGCGGAUUAAUUCGAUGCAACGCGAAGAACCUUACCAAGGCUUGACAUGGACCGGACCGCCGCAGAAAUGUGGUUUCUCCUUUUGGGGCCGGUUCACAGGUGGUGCAUGGUUGUCGUCAGCUCGUGUCGUGAGAUGUUGGGUUAAGUCCCGCAACGAGCGCAACCCUCGUUCCAUGUUGCCAGCACGUGAUGGUGGGGACUCAUGGGAGACUGCCGGGGUCAACUCGGAGGAAGGUGGGGACGACGUCAAAUCAUCAUGCCCCUUAUGUCUUGGGCUUCACGCAUGCUACAAUGGCCGGUACAAAGGGUUGCGAUACUGUGAGGUGGAGAUAAUCCCAAAAAGUUGGUUUCAGUUCGGAUU